This 253-nucleotide ribosomal RNA is filed under the name uncultured bacterium. Its description in RNAcentral is "partial 16S ribosomal RNA". It matches the Rfam family "Bacterial small subunit ribosomal RNA", at positions 524 to 776 of the family's 1533-position model. The record is from RNAcentral.
UACGGAGGGGACUAGCGUUGUUCGGAAUUACUGGGCGUAAAGGGCGCGUAGGCGGCCAACUAAGUCGGAUGUGAAAUCCCCAGGCUCAACUUGGGAACUGCAUCCGAUACUGGAUGGCUUGAAUUCGGGAGAGGGAUGCAGAAUUCCAGGUGUAGCGGUGAAAUGCGUAGAUAUCUGGAGGAAUACCGGUGGCGAAGGCGGCAUCCUGGACCGACAUUGACGCUGAGGAGCGAAAGCUAGGGGAGCAAACGGG